RNAcentral lists this ribosomal RNA (301 nucleotides) under uncultured bacterium. Its description in RNAcentral is "partial 16S ribosomal RNA". It matches the Rfam family "Bacterial small subunit ribosomal RNA", at positions 509 to 807 of the family's 1533-position model. The record is from RNAcentral.
CAGCCGCCACGGGAAUACAGAGGGUGCGAGCGUUAAUCGGAUUUACUGGGCGUAAAGCGUGCGUAGGCGGCUUCUUAAGUCGGAUGUGAAAUCCCUGAGCUUAACUUAGGAAUUGCAUUCGAUACUGGGAAGCUAGAGUAUGGGAGAGGAUGGUAGAAUUCCAGGUGUAGCGGUGAAAUGCGUAGAGAUCUGGAGGAAUACCGAUGGCGAAGGCAGCCAUCUGGCCUAACACUGACUCUGAGGUACGAAAGCAUGGGGAGCAAACAGGAUUAGAUACCCCCGUAGUCCCUGUCUCUUAUAC